RNAcentral lists this ribosomal RNA (207 nucleotides) under uncultured bacterium. RNAcentral's name for it is "partial 16S ribosomal RNA". It matches the Rfam family "Bacterial small subunit ribosomal RNA", at positions 568 to 774 of the family's 1533-position model. The record is from RNAcentral.
CGUGUAGGCGGAUUGGCAAGUCAAGCGUGAAAUCCCUCGGCUCAACCGAGGAACUGCGUUCGAAACUGCCUUUCUUGAGUGUGGAAGAGGAGAGUGGAACUCCUGGUGGAGCGGUGAAAUGCAUAGAUAUCAGGAGGAACGCCGGCGGCGAAAGCGGCUCUCUGGUCCACUACUGACGCUGAGGCGCGAAAGCCAGGGUAGCGAACG